RNAcentral lists this long non-coding RNA (205 nucleotides) under Homo sapiens (human). RNAcentral's name for it is "non-protein coding lnc-SBDS-13:1". The record is from RNAcentral. Lineage: Eukaryota; Metazoa; Chordata; Mammalia; Primates; Hominidae.
UCCGACCCGGCGGCCAACACCAGUAAGCUACAAGGAGGAGCUUUCCCACUGCCUGUGCUACUACUACCGGCGCGACUUCCCAGCCUGCAGCGUAGGGCGCAGCAAGGGCCUGACGCUGAGCGAGCAGGCGCUGCACACCAAGCGGUUGUCGCCUGGCGGGCACAAACAGAAGGUCAGACAAGGGCAGCAUGUGUGAAGACUGCGG